GAUUCAUCACCAGGAAAAAUCAGUGACAUACCAAUCCCAGUUAUUCCUCAGUCAGCAUGAAGAUUUUUUAUGUUUUUCUACUUAUCUUUUUCUUGUUCCAUUCAGUGUACCUGGACAAAUCAGGAAUUGUUUCCAGGAGAUGUAUAUAAGACUAGAACUUUAAACUGUAAUUGUAAUUGUAACGAACCAUAGUUGUGUAAAGCUAUAUCACUUAUCCUAGAAAAUGGUUAGAGGCAGAUGAUGAAGAAAAUACAGUGUGACAAUUGG
Molecule: long non-coding RNA, 267 nt
Organism: Ahaetulla prasina
Lineage: Eukaryota; Metazoa; Chordata; Lepidosauria; Squamata; Colubridae
Exons: 3
Source: RefSeq, a predicted model, not a curated record